GUUUCCGUAGUGUAGGGGUUAUCACGUUCGCCUCACACGCGAAAGGUCCCCGGUUCGAAGCCGGGCGGGAACA
Molecule: transfer RNA, 73 nt
Filed under: Canis lupus familiaris (dog)
Lineage: Eukaryota; Metazoa; Chordata; Mammalia; Carnivora; Canidae
Also listed under: 1 other name
Description: tRNA-Val (CAC) (tRNA-Val-CAC-3-1)
Rfam family: tRNA
About the family: Transfer RNA (tRNA) molecules are approximately 80 nucleotides in length. Their secondary structure includes four short double-helical elements and three loops (D, anti-codon, and T loops).
Source: Rfam by way of RNAcentral